GAAAUGUUUAGCCUGAAAAUAGUGUCUAAACAGUAUAUUUCUACAAAAUGAAUGCCACUUGGUUUAAUAUUUUAUGUAAUGCAGUGACAUUCAUACAUUUAAGCGUGGCCUAAAUGUGUCCAGAUAUCUGAGGGUCACCGUAAGUCAUGCAACAUGUGCAGUCAGUGAUAUACAUCCUCUGAUUGUUGUUGGUUUUUGCCGCUCUACAGGAUUGACCUCCCUCCAACUCACAAGCCUCCUCCUCCAUAUACAGAGAUACCUCCUGCCAUCCCAAUGGCCUCUCAGGCCCCUCAGGUGGCCUCAUUCUCUCAGGCUCGUCGGAUGGAGAGGCGCUACGAAUUGGCUGAACGGGCGCCAGGCAGGGUGGCUCGCAGAGACCUCCAGAGCCUCACUCACCAUUCACUGUCCUAUCAGGAGUGGAUAUGUCAUCAGAAUGGGGCGGACCAAGUUUACAUCAACCACAGAGAACACUACGUGUGAAAGCAUCCUCGUGUCAACCGCAGCGCACUGCCAGCCCCAAAGUGAAAACUGUUUACGAGAAUACUGGGAGCAAAACAAAAUCACCGCUAUACAGUAAUUAGGACUCUGAACUGUUACUUGUGUAUAUAAUUACUGGUCUAUAUAAUGCACAAUGAAAACCCUGGCAGCAUAUAUGUGUAAUUGUUCUGGCUUGUUUAACAUGUACAGUGUAGUCCGAUAUAAAAUAAAUGACCUAGGCUGCCUAUAUGAGUCUCUUUGUUCACUCAUAUUUCAAAUGUAGUGGUCAAACUGAGGGCGACUACAGCUGAAAUGUCCAAGACUGUACAAAAUGCUAUUUUUCUGUAGGGAUAAUUGCUCCUUGUUUUAAUCAUAUGUUGCAUUACACAAGGACUUUUUUCUCAAUAAUUUUAUUUAAUUUUUUUCAUUGUAGACCAGUUGUCAUUUGAUGUUUGACAAAUUUAGAUUUAAUUUGUUUGCUUAUGAAAGAGAGUGACUGCUAGAGGUCAUUUGCCAUAAGUUGUUUUGUUUACACUGUGAUGUACAUAACACUUAAAAAUAAAGGUUCUUAAUUGGCAUCUACGGUUCCAUGAAGAACCUUUAACAUCCAUGGAACCAUUCCACUGGGGGGAAAAAAGUUCUUUAUAUAGCGUGAAAAAUGUUCUUCGUUCGAAUUAAAAUUGUUAUUUUAUGAACUGUAUACUGAAAGGUUGUUUGGGGAACCCAAAAUGGCAUCACUGGGAAAACCCUCUUUUGGAACCUUUAUUUUUAUGGAUAUAGAUGUGAGUUUGAAUCAUAAGGCACAUGCUUAUGUACUUUGUCAUUGCCUACAGUAUGUGUGUAGAUACUGUAUUAUGUACAAUGUAAAUAUCUAAGCUCAUAAUCAGUGUACUUCACAAAAAACUGCGAAUAGAGGCUUUUUUGAAUGUUUAAGCUCAAUUUGAUCAUUUUUGUUCACUUUGUUCCGUUCAAUGUAGUGAAGCGUGAACUUUGAAUCUCAUAACCAAAGCAAUCUUUGCAUUAC
Molecule: long non-coding RNA, 1501 nt
Filed under: Sinocyclocheilus grahami
Lineage: Eukaryota; Metazoa; Chordata; Actinopteri; Cypriniformes; Cyprinidae
Description: lncRNA (ENSSGRG00000047377.1)
Source: RNAcentral